AUUGAACGCUGGUGGCAUGCCUAACACAUGCAAGUCGAACGGCAGCACAGUAAAGAUUUCGGUCUUUAUGGGUGGCGAGUGGCGGACGGGUGAGUAAUGCGUAGGAAUCUGUCCUGGAGAGUGGGAUAACCCGAGGAAACUCGGGCUAAUACUGCAUGAUAUCGAGAGAUCAAAGGCAGGGGACCCUUCGGGGCCUUGCGCUCUAGGAUGAGCCUACGUCGGAUUAGCUAGUUGGUGGGGUAAAGGCCUACCAAGGCGACGAUCCGUAGCUGGUCUGAGAGGAUGACCCGCCACACUGGGACUGAGACACGGCCCAGACUCCUACGGGAGGCAGCAGUGGGGAAUCUUGGACAAUGGGGGAAACCCUGAUCCAGCGAUGCCGCGUGUGUGAAGAAGGCCUUCGGGUUGUAAAGCACUUUAGUUGGGGAAGAAAAGUAAUGAGUGAAUAACUGAUUGCUCUGACGGUACCCAAAGAAUAAGCACCGGCUAACUCUGUGCCAGCCGCCGCGGUAA
RNAcentral lists this ribosomal RNA (513 nucleotides) under uncultured bacterium. RNAcentral's name for it is "partial 16S ribosomal RNA". It matches the Rfam family "Bacterial small subunit ribosomal RNA", at positions 30 to 523 of the family's 1533-position model. The record is from RNAcentral.